RNAcentral lists this non-coding RNA (1569 nucleotides) under Yarrowia alimentaria. RNAcentral's name for it is "16S ribosomal RNA". The stretch from base 1 to 1366 matches the Rfam family "Bacterial small subunit ribosomal RNA". Lineage: Eukaryota; Fungi; Ascomycota; Dipodascomycetes; Dipodascales. The record is from RNAcentral.
AAAGAGUUUUAUAUUGGCUCCCCUAAGUAUUAUCUAGAAACAUAUAUUAUGCAAACUAACAAAUUAUAAAUUUCGAGGCUCGAGAUAAUAAUAUAAUUUAGAGUAGUGAACACACGAGUAAUAGAUAAGAAACUACAACAUAAUAUAGCAAUAAAUUUGUAAUAAAAGCAUAAUAAAUAUGUAAUAAAGUAUAUAUAAAUAUACGUAUUGUGUGAGGCUUAUCAAAAUAUUAGGUAGUUGGUUAUAAUAAAUAGAUAACACAAGCUUAAGAUAUUUAGUCUAAUUUAGACCGUGUAGGAUCUGAAACAUAUCCUAAUUUCAAUGAAAUCAGCAGUAAGUAAUAUUCGUCAAUGAUUGAAAGAUUGAACGAGUUACCUAGUAGAAUUAUUAAAACUGAAGUUAAAUAUUAAAUAUUAUACCUAGUAAUAGGUAUAUUAUUUAAUAUUAUGUAAUAGUUUUAGAACGAACAGAAAAUUCGAAUUUUAAUAUAAGAAAGAUAUAUUAAUUGUGAUAGUAUGUACUAAUUUCAGUGCCAGCAGUAGCGGUAAUACUGAUCAUGCAAAUACUUAGAAUAUACUUGGCUUAAAGGGUUUGCAGAUGGAUGUAGAAAUACAUACUAGAAUUUAUAGGAUGUUAUUUCAAUUUUAAAAGUAAGGAUAAAAUUUGCAUAUAAUUAAAGUUGAUCCAAAAUUUGGAAAAUAAUAACAAACAUAAAUUGACAUUAAGAAACGAAAGUUAAAAUAUAGAAAUCGAUUAGAGACCGGUGUAUUUUUAACCGUAAACGAAACAUAUUGAGAAUAAAAAAAGUUAAACGAGAAUAUGUCGCCAUAGUAGUACGUUCCCAGGAAUGAAACUAAAAAUAUAAGACGGUUUGGAACUCAAGUAGUGGAACAUGUUGUUUAAUUCGAUAAUCCCCGAUAAACUUACCUAUCUUUGUAUUCUAAACAGGUGUUACAUCAUUGUCUUCAAUUCGUGUUGUGAAAUGUUAGGUUAAGUCCAAGCAACGAAUAAAACCCUCUCUAAUAUAGUCUAUAAUCAAUUCAAAUUUAUUUGGGUAGAAUUUAGACAAAAAAUAUUAUUUUAUUUUAAUCAAAAUGGUUAGCAUAAAGAGGACUAAGACAAAUCAAGAUGACCCAAAUAGAUAGGGCUACAGAUGUGUUACAAAAUAUAAUGAAAUUAAAAAUUAAAGAUAUAAUAAAAACUUUAAUAAAUUAUAUAAAUUAUAUAAUAAAAUGAUUAUUUCAUUUGCUCCAUGGAUAAAAGUUUGAAAUUCAGCUUUUUGAAAAAGGAAUUACUAGUAAUUAUCGUUAAGUAUACGAUAAUGAAUACCAUCUUUCAUUCGUACUAAUCACUCAUCACUUGCUUAAAAAAUAAAAUGUUAAGUUUUUUUAAAGUAAAUCAAUCUUUAGAUUGUUUUUAUAUUUCUUUUAUCCGUUAACACGGAUUAGAAAUAAUUGUUAUUUAUUUUUAGUAAAUACUUAACAAUAUUAAAUACGCAUUAAGUUUAAUAAGUAAGAAGUUGAAAUACAGUUACUGUAGAGGAAUCUGCAGUGGUAAAUAAAAAUUUAA